Molecule: long non-coding RNA, 755 nt
Filed under: Panthera leo (lion)
Lineage: Eukaryota; Metazoa; Chordata; Mammalia; Carnivora; Felidae
Description: lncRNA (ENSPLOG00000002917.1)
Source: RNAcentral
GUCCAACUUCUCAUCUCUGUAUCUCUGUUCUUCAUGUACUACAGGCUUUUUUCUGUAGUUAAGUCAGAAAGCCAUGUAGACUUGCCUGCCCUUUGAAGACAGACUUUUAAGACUUCUAGGAAGAUAGCUGCACUAUUGAAAGUUUUAAAAGAAUAUAAUCGUGUGUGUUGUAACAGAAAGAGAAAUGGAAGUAUUCCAGGAACUCCGUAAGCCCUCAGCACGUUUGGAGUGUGACCACUGCAGUUUCCGAGGCACAGAUUAUGAAAAUGUGCAAAUCCACAUGGGCACCAUCCAUCCAGAAUUUUGUGAUGAAAUGGAUGCUGGGCAGAUGCACAAUGUGUUUGGGAAAGAAGUAUCAUUGGAUUAUUCUUUGAAUCUGCGUCAUGAAAAUUUGAUUUGUUAAUUCACAUGCCUGACAACAUAAUGCUACAGAUCUUCUCUUUUCUUGAUUUGGAUGACAUUGGGCAGCUCUCAAAAACCUGCAAAAAAAUUCCAAAAGAUGUGUAACAGUGAAGAACUUGGGGAGAAAUUUAACAUGUUACAAGACAAACAUGCUUUUGACACAAAGAAGGAUAGACACUUACAAGAAGUUGUAAGCUUUCCACCAAAAUGCAGGCCAACAGAAACACACAGAGAAGACAGCAUUUUUCUAAACUUGACUGAAGUGACAAACUUUUAAAAGUAAGGAUUUAAACUGAAUUUUCAUAUAAUAAUGACUAUCAUUAAACCUUACUAAAGCUGACACUGGGUGGAAG